Molecule: transfer RNA, 73 nt
Filed under: Ancylostoma duodenale
Lineage: Eukaryota; Metazoa; Nematoda; Chromadorea; Rhabditida; Ancylostomatidae
Description: tRNA-Ile
Source: RNAcentral
GCCGCCAGCAGGGGUCGAACCUGCGACCUUGGGCUUAUUAGACCCACGCUCUAACCGACUGAGCUAUGGCGGC